AUUGACCGCUGGCGGCAGGCCUAACACAUGCAAGUCGAACGAGUGGCGGACGGGUGAGUAAUGUCUGGGAAACUGCCUGAUGGAGGGGGAUAACUACUGGAAACGGUAGCUAAUACCGCAUACCAUCGGAUGUGCCCAGAUGGGAUUAGCGAGUAGGUGGGGUAAAGGCUCACCUAGGCGACGAUCCCUAGCUGGUCUGAGAGGAUGACCAGACACACGGGAACUGAGACACGGUCCAGACUCCUACGGGAGGCAGCAGUGGGGAAUAUUGCACAAUGGGCGCAAGCCGGAUGCAGCCAGGCCGCGGGUAUGAAGAAGGCCUUCGGGUUGUAAAGUACUUUCAGCGGGGAGGCGUUACCCGCAGAAGAAGCACCGGCUAACUCCGUGCCAGCCGCCGCGGUAAUUC
Molecule: ribosomal RNA, 406 nt
Filed under: uncultured bacterium
Lineage: Bacteria
Description: partial 16S ribosomal RNA
Rfam family: Bacterial small subunit ribosomal RNA
Source: RNAcentral